Prunus dulcis (almond) is the source of this 504-nucleotide long non-coding RNA. RefSeq lists it as uncharacterized. The transcript has 3 exons. The record is from RefSeq and is a predicted model, not a curated record. NCBI's taxonomy places the organism in Eukaryota, Viridiplantae, Streptophyta, Magnoliopsida, Rosales, Rosaceae.
CUAUUUUGAGUGACUAUUCAGAGAAGAUUGAAGCCAUUGCUUCCAAAUUAGCUGCUCCGCCGAUGCGUUCAUAUGAUCUAAUUGUGAAUCUCCUAUUAUCUACAUAAUAGGAAGACAUUUUACAUGAAACUGCAGCAGCAAAGAUUGAAUCUACAUAAAACAUACACCAGGACUCAAAUCAACCUAAAACCUUUAUCAUCAGACGUGUGACAAUUAAGGAAAAAUGUUCCAAAAAGAAAAGCAACAUCUUGGGUUACUUCAAAAACUGAUCAUUGUUAUAAAUCCUUACUCUCUGAUACUCGAUUCUACAGAGAAGGCUGUUGAAAGUAGCUUGGCAAGCACGGGUCACGCCACUACACGCGACAGAUAUAUAGACGUCCAAAACUACGUGUUUCACAUGGCUUGUAAUGUUUGUAAGGAUGUGUGUAUUCGUCAUGGUUCUACUUUUAAUUCGGGUUACUUAAGGGUAUGUUGAGUUAGGAAAUGGGAGAUUCUCCUCCCGUA